GCCCGGAUAGCUCAGGUAGUAGAGCAGAGGAUUGAAAACCUUGUGUCCUUGGGGCGGUCCCGAGUCCGGGCACCA
RNAcentral lists this transfer RNA (75 nucleotides) under Escherichia coli. RNAcentral's name for it is "tRNA-Phe". It matches the Rfam family "tRNA". From Rfam's summary of the family: Transfer RNA (tRNA) molecules are approximately 80 nucleotides in length. Their secondary structure includes four short double-helical elements and three loops (D, anti-codon, and T loops). The record is from RNAcentral. Lineage: Bacteria; Pseudomonadati; Pseudomonadota; Gammaproteobacteria; Enterobacterales; Enterobacteriaceae.